CUUCGAGGACGACUUCGAGGACGACUUCGAUGACGACUCUUGAGGACGACCUCA
This 54-nucleotide non-coding RNA is filed under the name Ixodes scapularis (black-legged tick). RNAcentral's name for it is "Guanidine-II sequence". It matches the Rfam family "Guanidine-II riboswitch aptamer (mini-ykkC)". Rfam says of the family: Simpler in structure and has fewer highly conserved nucleotide positions than the ykkC-yxkD leader. Despite this each of its two stem-loop structures directly bind free guanidine. The record is from Rfam by way of RNAcentral. Lineage: Eukaryota; Metazoa; Arthropoda; Arachnida; Ixodida; Ixodidae.